Molecule: ribosomal RNA, 857 nt
Filed under: uncultured marine microorganism
Description: bacterial SSU rRNA
Rfam family: Bacterial small subunit ribosomal RNA
Source: RNAcentral
AGAGUUUGAUCAUGGCUCAGAUUGAACGCUGGCGGCAGGCCUAACACAUGCAAGUCGAACGGUAACAUUUCUAGCUUGCUAGAAGAUGACGAGUGGCGGACGGGUGAGUAAUGCUUGGGAACUUGCCUUUGCGAGGGGGAUAACAGUUGGAAACGACUGCUAAUACCGCAUAAUGUCUACGGACCAAACGGGGCUUAGGCUCCGGCGCAAAGAGAGGCCCAAGUGAGAUUAGCUAGUUGGUAAGGUAAUGGCUUACCAAGGCAACGAUCUCUAGCUGUUCUGAGAGGAAGAUCAGCCACACUGGAACUGAGACACGGUCCAGACUCCUACGGGAGGCAGCAGUGGGGAAUAUUGCACAAUGGGGGAAACCCUGAUGCAGCCAUGCCGCGUGUGUGAAGAAGGCCUUCGGGUUGUAAAGCACUUUCAGUUGUGAGGAAAAGUUAGUAGUUAAUACCUGCUAGCCGUGACGUUAACAACAGAAGAAGCACCGGCUAACCCCGUGCCAGCAGCCGCGGUAAUACGGAGGGUGCGAGCGUUAAUCGGAAUUACUGGGCGUAAAGCGCACGCAGGCGGUUUGUUAAGCUAGAUGUGAAAGCCCCGGGCUCAACCUGGGAUAGUCAUUUAGAACUGGCAGACUAGAGUCUUGGAGAGGGGAGUGGAAUUCCAGGUGUAGCGGUGAAAUGCGUAGAUAUCUGGAGGAACAUCAGUGGCGAAGGCGACUCCCUGGCCAAAGACUGACGCUCAUGUGCGAAAGUGUGGGUAGCGAACAGGAUUAGAUACCCUGGUAGUCCACACCGUAACGCUGUCUACUAGCUGUUUGUGACUUUAAGUCGUGAGUAGCGAAGCUAACGCGCUAA